This 193-nucleotide ribosomal RNA is filed under the name uncultured eukaryote. Its description in RNAcentral is "partial 18S ribosomal RNA". It matches the Rfam family "Eukaryotic small subunit ribosomal RNA", at positions 1 to 194 of the family's 1831-position model. The record is from RNAcentral.
UAACCUGGUUGAUCCUGCCAGUUAGUCAUAUGCUUGUCUUAAAGACUAAGCCAUGCAUGUCUAAGUAUAAAUAGUAUACAGUGAAACUGCGAAUGGCUCAUUAAAACAGUUAUCGUUUAUUUGAUAAUUACUAUUAUAUGGAUACCUGUAGUAAUUCUAGAGCUAAUACAUGCGUCAAUGCCCGACUUUGGAA